This 28-nucleotide non-coding RNA is filed under the name Homo sapiens (human). The record is from RNAcentral. Lineage: Eukaryota; Metazoa; Chordata; Mammalia; Primates; Hominidae.
UCCAGAGAGUUGAGGUCCAAAAUGGUGU